UCAGGGCUAGUGUGAUGAGAGUGCUGCCUUUGACCAUCUAGGUCGAUUAAGUUUUUGGUUUUGAUUAUUUUGACUCUAGUUGGAUAAUUGUAUUUGGUACUUUAUUAAUUGAUCACCACUGUUAAUAUUUUGAGGUACGUUGUUAGUGCUUUGUUUAUUUAUUUUGAGGUUUAUUGUGCUUUACACGUGACCUCCUUUUCCUAUUCGGGAAAGGGGUGUUACAUAAGUACUCUCAUUUAUUUCUAAUAAGAUUAUAAGAC
Molecule: long non-coding RNA, 260 nt
Filed under: Panax ginseng (ginseng)
Lineage: Eukaryota; Viridiplantae; Streptophyta; Magnoliopsida; Apiales; Araliaceae
Description: long non-coding RNA (PGIN_LNC000268)
Source: RNAcentral